GGGGAUAUAACUCAGUUGGUAGAGUGUGUGCUUUGCAAGCGUAAGGUCAAGAGUUCGAAUCUCUUUAUCUCCU
Molecule: transfer RNA, 73 nt
Filed under: Nereocystis luetkeana
Lineage: Eukaryota; Phaeophyceae; Laminariales; Laminariaceae
Description: tRNA-Ala
Rfam family: tRNA
About the family: Transfer RNA (tRNA) molecules are approximately 80 nucleotides in length. Their secondary structure includes four short double-helical elements and three loops (D, anti-codon, and T loops). Further hydrogen bonds mediate the characteristic L-shaped molecular structure. tRNAs have two regions of fundamental functional importance: the anti-codon, which is responsible for specific mRNA codon recognition, and the 3' end, to which the tRNAs corresponding amino acid is attached (by aminoacyl-tRNA synthetases). tRNAs cope with the degeneracy of the genetic code in two manners: having more than one tRNA (with a specific anti-codon) for a particular amino acid; and 'wobble' base-pairing, i.e. permitting non-standard base-pairing at the 3rd anti-codon position.
Source: RNAcentral